Molecule: long non-coding RNA, 819 nt
Filed under: Homo sapiens (human)
Lineage: Eukaryota; Metazoa; Chordata; Mammalia; Primates; Hominidae
Description: HSALNT0312906
Source: RNAcentral
AGUUUCAAAACUGCUCUAUCGAAAGGAAGGUUCAACUCUGUGAGUUGAAAGCACACAUCACAAAGAAGUUUCUGACAAUUAUUCUGUCUUGUUUUGUAUUAGGAAUCACUUUUCAAACGAAGGCCACAAAUUGGUCCAAAUAUCCACUUGGAAAUUCUACAAAAAGAAUAUUUCAACACUCUUCUAUCAAAAGGAAGGUUGAACUCUGAGAGUUAAAUGCACGCAUCACAAAGAAGUUUCUGAGAAUUCUUCUGUCAAGGUUUAUAUGAAGAAAUCCCGUUUCCAAUGAAGGCCUCAAAAAAGUCCAAAUAUUUACUUGCAGAUUCUACAAAAAGAGUGUUUCAUAACUGGUCUAUCAAAAGAAAGGUUAAACUCAGUGAGUUGAACCCACACAUCACAAAGUAGUUUCUGAGAAUCAUUCUGUCUAGUUUUCCUACGAAGAUAUUGCCUUUUCUACCAUAGGCCUCAAACGGCGCUAAAUAUCCACCUGGAAAUUCUACAAAAACUGAGUUUCAAAAGUGCUCUAUUGAAAGGAAGCUUCAACUCUGUGCGUUGAAGGUACACACCACAAAGAAGUUUCUGAGAAUUCUUCUGUCUACUUGUAAAUGAAGAAAUCACGUUUCAAACGAAGGCCACAAAGAGGUCCAAACAUCCACUUGCAGAUUCUACAAAAAGAGUGUUUCAAAACUGCUCCAUCAAGAGGAAUGUUCAACUCUGUGCGUUGAAUGCAAAUAUCACAAAUAAGUUUCUGACAAUACUUCUGUCUAGUUUUUAUGUGAAGAUAUUUCCUUUUCUACCCUUGGCCUCAAAUCGCUCUAA